GGCUUCCAAUAUAAGCACACCCAUGAGUUCCAGUAUGCUCUCCAUAAUGGAUCCUCGAAUCGCAGUUCAAAUAAACUGCAGUGAGAUUAUGCGUGCAUACAUAAUGUGGGAAAUAAUUUCCUACUAACUUCUGUACCUUGCUCGAUAACACUCCCUUUCACAUUCGUACAAGGUUGUGGCACCCAGAGUACAUGCUCCAACCACAAUU
Molecule: unclassified non-coding RNA, 208 nt
Filed under: Hevea brasiliensis (rubber tree)
Lineage: Eukaryota; Viridiplantae; Streptophyta; Magnoliopsida; Malpighiales; Euphorbiaceae
Source: RNAcentral